AGCCCCGAGAGUCGGGAGGCUCUAAACAA
Molecule: small RNA, 29 nt
Filed under: Bombyx mori (domestic silkworm)
Lineage: Eukaryota; Metazoa; Arthropoda; Insecta; Lepidoptera; Bombycidae
Description: ovarian small RNA-12077
Source: RNAcentral